UCCUUUCAUCACCUUUGUUUCACAUUAUAUCAUUUGCUAUGUUAGAAAUUUGAUUGUAUACAAUAUCUUUUCGAUGAAUAUUAAAAAUUUUAGUCAUCGUUAAAUUGUUGACAAGAGGCAACUCUCUGUAUUCUUUUAUAUCCUGGACAGAAAAUAUUCUUAUCGGUAUUGUAGACAAAGCUGAUGAUGAAGGUGGCGUUAAUGUAAAGAACAUUCGCACAAUUUCGAGACAUAUCAAUUUCAAGAUCAACAAUAGUCUAGAAGCGUGGUUUUAUAAGCAUAAAUAUAUUUUGCACGUGUGAAAUAAUUUAACACGACAAAUAAUCAUAAUAUUUUGAAAAACGAUUCCUAAAUCACUUGUAUGAUAAUUAAAUUCAUUCUAAAGGAAUAUAAAUUAUUACCGUAUCGGUGCGUGACAUUUUCACAUAAAGUAAAGAGGUUGGAAAUUUACUAAACAUAUAAUCGCAAUAUAACUUGAACGUUUUCCAAGCAAGAAACAAUAUUUCGUUGGAAAAUAGAAAAAAAGGAUCGAAUCCAUGAAGAAAGUAAAUAAAUAGAGGGAAAAAAGGUCCAUCUUUUUCGAUAAAUCUAUAUAACGAUAGUUAUAGAAAGUCAUGUUCUCGAGAUACAACAAGAUCUCUCCGAUCUCUGUGUAACGGAGAUCUGGUACACCGGUAUGAUUCAGCGACGGUGUUUGGAAAUUUCCAGAUUUCACCUUGACUUUGAUUGCAAGUCGCACGCGAGCCUGAUCGUGCGAAUCCCUCAGAUACAGAAGGCUAGUACGUGUUACGUGUACUAAACAAAUCCACCGAGACGAGUUCAGAAUUCUAUCUCGUUGAAAAAACGUGGCGCGUUUUUUUUUUAUUAUGAAACGUAUUAAAACUGGAAAAUUUAUUUUCAUUCGUAAAACGCGUACAUUUAAUAAUUCAACUUUGAGACUGAGUCGAAUGUGACAACGUGUAAUCUAAUUUUUUCUCUAAUUCAAUUAAAAAUGAAUAUUUUCUCGUUGUGGUACGAAGUAAUUACGCUUAAAAGCAUUACGAAACGCGAAUAACCCUAGGGAAAAGUCUCUCUCUUUCUCUCUCUUGUAGACUAACAAACUUGCUUGACAUUAUCGUAGAAUUGAAAAAAAAAAAAACGAAUGGAGGAUGAAUAAUUGAAAACGCAAUAAUCACGAUACAGAUAUGUCUUAAUAAAACGGAGGGAGAUAUUGCUAUGCGUAAAUUGUAAAAUGAAUGUGAAUUAUGUUAGUACGACAAUGAGUUUCUUCUAUGCGUAUCUAACUUGGAAUGCAUACCGAAUGAAAAUUGAACCGCAUACCGAUGCACAUUGACUAUGCAAUCUAUGCCAAGAGAUGGAUAAUAAGGAAAAAAAAGAAACGUGUUUAAUCAAAUUUUCCAAUGACUAUUGAAUCUCUCGUGAUUUUCUUGUAUUGCUAUAAAAGAAAACAUUUUUUCUUUUUUUCUUUUUUCUUUGCAAGCUAAUAAAUCGGUUAAAAUCGACGAAAAAUACAAAGAUCGAAAAAAGAAAAAUUUCUGUAAUUUUCUUCGGAAAUAUCGAAAAUUGAACGAUCGUUACAACGACCAGUUUUCGGCCUAACUGGAUUGAUUAAACUUAGCACGUGCUGCAAACCGGCUCCACCGGACGAAACACGUAAUUACACGAUGCGGAUUCGCGUCAAUGUUUCGUAGUUUUCGUGAUGUUCGUUAUCCGACACGCGUGAAACACCAAUGCAAAAAAGAAAACCACUCUGUGAAUCAUACGAUUUAUCCGUUUCGCGAAGAGAAAAAGAACGAGGAGUGUGGUUAUGUUGACUUUCGAUAUUUGUAAAAAAAAAAAAAA
Molecule: long non-coding RNA, 1842 nt
Filed under: Apis dorsata (giant honeybee)
Lineage: Eukaryota; Metazoa; Arthropoda; Insecta; Hymenoptera; Apidae
Description: uncharacterized LOC116186411
Source: RNAcentral